RNAcentral lists this ribosomal RNA (509 nucleotides) under uncultured bacterium. Its description in RNAcentral is "bacterial SSU rRNA". It matches the Rfam family "Bacterial small subunit ribosomal RNA", at positions 10 to 507 of the family's 1533-position model. The record is from RNAcentral.
AGUUUUGAUCAUGGCUCAGAGUGAACGCUGGCGGCAGGCCUAAUACAUGCAAGUCGAACGGCAGCACAGCAGAGCUUGCUCUGUGGGUGGCGAGUGGCGGACGGGUGAGGAAUACAUGGGAAUCUGCCCAGUCGUGGGGGAUAACGUAGGGAAACUUACGCUAAUACCGCAUGCGCCCUUCGGGGGAAAGCCGGGGACCUUCGGGCCUGGCGCGAUUGGAUGAGCCCAUGUCGGAUUAGCUAGUUGGCGGGGUAAUGGCCCACCAAGGCGACGAUCCGUAGCUGGUCUGAGAGGAUGAUCAGCCACACUGGAACUGAGACACGGUCCAGACUCCUACGGGAGGCAGCAGUAGGGAAUAUUGGACAAUGGGCGCAAGCCUGAUCCAGCCAUGCCGCGUGAGUGAAGAAGGCCCUCGGGUUGUAAAGCUCUUUUGUCCGGAAAGAAAAGCGCCGGGUUAAUACCCUAGUGUCCUGACGGUACCGGAAGAAUAAGCACCGGCUAACUUCGUG